UACGAAGGGGGCUAGCGUUGUUCGGAAUGACUGGGCGUAAAGGGUGCGCAGGCGGGCACUUAAGUCAGGGGUGAAAUCCCGAGGCUCAACCUCGGAACUGCCUUUGAUACUGGGUGUCUUGAGUCCGGAAGAGGUGAGUGGAAUUGCGGGUGUAGAGGUGAAAUUCGUAGAUAUUCGAAAGAACACCGGUGGCGAAGGCGGCUUACUGGUCCGGAACUGACGCUGAGGCGCGAAAGCGUGGGGAGCAAACAGG
This 253-nucleotide ribosomal RNA is filed under the name uncultured bacterium. RNAcentral's name for it is "partial 16S ribosomal RNA". It matches the Rfam family "Bacterial small subunit ribosomal RNA", at positions 524 to 776 of the family's 1533-position model. The record is from RNAcentral.